UGCAAGUCGAGGGGUAUAGUUCUUCGGAACUAGAGACCGGCGCACGGGUGCGUAACGCGUAUGCAAUCUACCUUUCACAAAGGAAUAGCCCAGAGAAAUUUGGAUUAAUACCUUAUAGUAAUACGACUUGGCAUCAAGAUGUAUUUAAAGAUUUAUCGGUGAAAGAUGAGCAUGCGUCCCAUUAGCUAGUUGGUAAGGUAACGGCUUACCAAGGCAACGAUGGGUAGGGGUCCUGAGAGGGAGAUCCCCCACACUGGUACUGAGACACGGACCAGACUCCUACGGGAGGCAGCAGUGAGGAAUAUUGGACAAUGGGCGCAAGCCUGAUCCAGCCAUGCCGCGUGCAGGAUGACGGUCCUAUGGAUUGUAAACUGCUUUUAUACGAGAAGAAACACUCCGACGUGUCGGAGCUUGACGGUAUCGUAAGAAUAAGGAUCGGCUAACUCCGUGCCAGCAGCCGCGGUAAUACGGAGGAUCCAAGCGUUAUCCGGAAUCAUUGGGUUUAAAGGGUCCGUAGGCGGUCAGAUAAGUCAGUGGUGAAAGCCCAUCGCUCAACGGUGGAACGGCCAUUGAUACUGUCUGACUUGAAUUAUUAGGAAGUAACUAGAAUAUGUAGUGUAGCGGUGAAAUGCUUAGAGAUUACAUGGAAUACCAAUUGCGAAGGCAGGUUACUACUAAUUGAUUGACGCUGAUGGACGAAAGCGUGGGUAGCGAACAGGAUUAGAUACCCUGGUAGUCCACGCCGUAAACGAUGGAUACUAGCUGUUGGGAGCAAUCUCAGUGGCUAAGCGAAAGUGAUAAGUAUCCCACCUGGGGAGUACGUUCGCAAGAAUGAAACUCAAAGGAAUUGACGGGGGCCCGCACAAGCGGUGGAGCAUGUGGUUUAAUUCGAUGAUACGCGAGGAACCUUACCAAGGCUUAAAUGUAGAUUGACCGGUUUGGAAACAGACUUUUCGCA
This 958-nucleotide ribosomal RNA is filed under the name Flavobacterium sinopsychrotolerans. RNAcentral describes it as "bacterial SSU rRNA". It matches the Rfam family "Bacterial small subunit ribosomal RNA", at positions 56 to 1019 of the family's 1533-position model. Lineage: Bacteria; Pseudomonadati; Bacteroidota; Flavobacteriia; Flavobacteriales; Flavobacteriaceae. The record is from RNAcentral.